Molecule: long non-coding RNA, 1643 nt
Filed under: Ananas comosus (pineapple)
Lineage: Eukaryota; Viridiplantae; Streptophyta; Magnoliopsida; Poales; Bromeliaceae
Description: long non-coding RNA (ACOM_LNC025673)
Source: RNAcentral
AAAAUCUGUGGAUUUUAAAAAUUUAUAUUCAAAUCUGAAUCAGAUCAAAAAUUUGAAGUCUGAACCCGGAUCCGAAUCCGAAAAUCCGAACCGAAAUACUUUUUUCUUUUUUCAGUAUUUUAAAAUAUAUUAUAUUAAAUUUAAAUUUCUAAAAUACAAAUUCAAAUAUAAUAUCAAAUUUUAAUAUAUCGACCGUCCCUAGAGCAAGUGGCAAAGGACUUGGUGGUUGGUACCCAAGACUUAAGUUCGAAUCCUAGUUGAUUCACAUUUUCAGUUAAGUUUAUUUCUAAAUGAAAUAAACGAAGCGGGUAGCGUGCUACCUAUCUCUCAAAAAAAAAAAAAUCAAAUUUUAAUAUAUAUAUAUAAAAUGUAACAUAAAUUCGGAUUCGUAUCGAGUUCGGAUUCGGAUCGGGUACAGUCAAAAUCCAUAUCCGAAUUCAUAUCUAUCGGAUUUUUGUUUUUGAUAUUCAUAUCCGAAAUCAUAUUCGUUUAGUAUCGAAUAAAUCCGUUUUGUUUGGAUUCGGGUUCAAAUAAAAUUUCAGGUAUAUGUAUCCAUUGAGACAUCCCUAAACUGGACCUCUAGCCGUGUUUGGUUUGCCUAUUUUUCACUCUGGAAUCGGAAUCGAAAUGGAUGAAUCCAUUUUUUGUGUUUGGUAUACGGAAUUUCCAUUCCGAUUCCAAUUUUCGGUGAAUGGGAAUUCACGCGAUUACCCCUUUUCCCAAUCCGGCCUAGGAGCCUAGGCUAGAUUGGAAAUUAAAUCCGAAUGGAAUGGAUUUGUUCGGAUUAAAUUUAACUUUUUUAAGCUUUUUUUUAAUUUUAAAAAAAGUUUAAGUUUGAAAAUUAUAUUUAUAAAUAUAAAUUUAAUUUGAACUUAAAUUAAGAAUUAAAAUUUAAUCAAGCAUUUCGAAUCAAAUUUAUAAAUUUGAAUUUAAAAUUAAAUUUAAUUUAAAAUCUAAAGUUUUAUUCAAAUUUUAUUUAAAAUUUAAAUUAAAUUUAUAGAUUCAAAUUGAAAUUUAAAUUAUAAUUUUAAAUUUGAAUUUAUACAAAUCAAAAUUUAAUUUUAUAUUUUAAAUUAUCCAUUCAAUUUCAAAAUUUAUUUUUUAUAAAAAAAUAUUCAAAAUUUUGACAUCAUUUUAAAAUUUUGAACUAUAUUUUUAAUAUUUAAUUUUCAGUUUGAAUUUAAACUAAUAUAUUAUAAAAAUUAAAUUGAUAUAUUAAUUUGAUUACGUUUCUAAUAUUUAUCUGAAUCAAACACCGACAAUUGAAAUAAUCCAUUCCAAUUCUGAUUUAGAUUGCGAAUCAAACAAAAUAAUGUAAUGAAUCAUUUAGAUUCUGUUUAAAACUUAUUGUCAUUUCGAUUCUGAUACCGAUUCCGACUUCAAACUAAAUACACCCAGGUGUUGUGGUGUUUGUGGCUUUUUUUGAGCAAAUAGUAGCAUUAAUUUAACUGAUCGUUGCUAGUGCAAGUGGCAAAAGAUUUAGUGGUUGGUACCCGAGGUAUUGCAAAGGACUUGGUGGUUGGUACCCGAGGUCUUAAGUUCAAAUCCUAGUUGAUUCACAUUUCUAGCUAAGUUUAUGUUUAAAUAAAAUAAACAAAACGGUUAGCAUACUACCUAUCUAUCUCAAAAAAAAAAAAAAAAAA